CCGAGAGAUAGCAGCCAUAACAUAUAGAUAAAAAAAUGUCUACAACCUGUUAGUGUUAGUGUUAGUGUUGGUACCUAAAAAACAGGAUCUUUAGUGACAACAAUCCGAAUUUACUUUUCAAAUAUAGGUAAUGAGACUCGAUGAAGUGGAAGGAUCGUAAACUCGGGUGGGAAUUCGUCAUGGCUUGGAGAUAAGGGGCGGUACGGGAACUUCAAAACAGUCGGCUAGACGACACUCGCUCCAAGGAGGGAUUAUCGAGUUUAACGAGAGUUUGUCAAAUGCAGGGACAUGCAAACAAUGCAUCUAGCUGAUUGGCGCCAAAUGGGCCUUCGGAUGGAACUUCGACAGAUCGCUGAUGAUCUCCGCAGUACCCUGAUCACAGCUCACCGCUGACGUUUUUUAUCUCUACAUGUCUUUGAAAAGUGAAGGAGCGAGAACGACUCGACUUGGAGUCGAAAAUAGCUUUGCAUGAGUAAAAAAGACGGUCAAAGGCCACACGCUACCACCCAUACUGCGUCGCACGUUGAGUAAAGGAUCGUUAAGCAAAAGGAAAUUGACUUGCGAUAAAGGUGACUGAAUGGAACCCGAACUAUCAAAACGUGUCAACGAAACGCACUAGGAAGAACAAAAAAUCAAGCAACGUAGUGCCUGGAAUAUGCGGGGAUGGAAUGUAGGUACUUACACCGAAAGACGGCAUCUACAACAACGAUCAAAGAAGAAAGGCCCAGAUGUCAUCUUUUGGAAGCAGCCUUCUAUAAUCCAGUCAAAUUGUGCGGACAUGGAAGAACCCACAACUCCCGUUCAACCCGUCGAUUCUUAUCCAUGACAGGAAAGACACGGAAAUCGCG
Cylas formicarius (sweet potato weevil) is the source of this 848-nucleotide long non-coding RNA. RefSeq lists it as uncharacterized. The transcript is spliced from 8 exons. Lineage: Eukaryota; Metazoa; Arthropoda; Insecta; Coleoptera; Brentidae. The record is from RefSeq and is a predicted model, not a curated record.